ACGCAACGCCGCGUGGGGGAUGAAGGUCUUCGGAUUGUAAACCCCUGUCGAAUGGGACGAAAGACUCGCGAGUUAAUACUGCGCGAGAGUGACGGUACCGUUAAAGGAAGCCACGGCUAACUCUGUGCCAGCAGCCGCGGUAAUACAGAGGUGGCAAGCGUUGUUCGGAAUUACUGGGCGUAAAGGGCGCGUAGGCGGCCCACUAAGUCAGACGUGAAAUCCCCCGGCUUAACCUGGGAACUGCGUCUGAUACUGGAGGGCUUGAGUAUGGGAGAGGGAUGUAGAAUUCCAGGUGUAGCGGUGAAAUGCGUAGAUAUCUGGAGGAAUACCGGUGGCGAAGGCGGCAUCCUGGACCAUUACUGACGCUGAGGCGCGAAAGCUAGGGGAGCAAACGGGAUUAGAUACCCCGGUAGUCCUAGCCCUAAACGAUGAAUACUUGGUGUGGCGGGUAUCGAUCCCUGCCGUGCCGAAGCUAACGCAUUAAGUAUUCCGCCUGGGGAGUACGGUCGCAAGGCUG
Molecule: ribosomal RNA, 517 nt
Filed under: uncultured Acidobacteriota bacterium
Lineage: Bacteria; Pseudomonadati; Acidobacteriota
Description: bacterial SSU rRNA
Rfam family: Bacterial small subunit ribosomal RNA
Source: RNAcentral